Long non-coding RNA from Cavia porcellus (domestic guinea pig), 767 nucleotides. RefSeq lists it as uncharacterized. The record is from RefSeq and is a predicted model, not a curated record. NCBI's taxonomy places the organism in Eukaryota, Metazoa, Chordata, Mammalia, Rodentia, Caviidae. The transcript is spliced from 5 exons.
UGGCAUGGAUCAGAAGAAUUACAGCCCGGGGAAUAUAAAGGGACAGAAAGACUCAGGUACACCGCUUGGUGCCUCCUGCCUACAGCCACAAGCUGAUUCCUGUCUGCCACGACGCUCUCUCUGCCUUGGAGCCCGCCAGCUAUGGACUGAAACCUCUGCAAACUGCUGGCAUUCAACUCAGUAUGUAGCCCGUACUAGCCUCAAACUCACAAUGAUCUUCCUGCGAACUCAGCCUCUCAAAGACGAAGGGGAAGAAAAGCCUGUCAGAAAGAGAAGAGGUAGUGACCCUCUGACUGCCUGUUCGCCCAGAGAGAGAAACUUUACCCUUAGCCCAGACUGGAGGAGCAGAUCACACGUGCACGCUGCCUGCAGGGGAGAACGUUGCUGCAGAGGCAUGUCAGCUCAUAACUGGACCUGUCUGGGAAGAUGGACUGCCUCUAAGUCCUUGGACUGCCUUUACAGGGAUCGAACUCACGACUGUCUGCUUGCAAGGCAGGCGCUUAUGCCGCUGAGCUAAACUCCCCAACUGCAGAAAGACCCACAGACCACCACUGCACCCAGUGGUGUCUCAGAAGACAGCUGAGCGCCAUCCAGCUCCAGCCACAGCUCCCAGGAGCGCCGGAUUGCCAACCCUUGCCGGUUACAGCUGUAAAUACAGCCACUGUUCUGUAAAACCUCCGAACACAUUUUCUAGAUUACCUGAGUUUGUGUUUCCUGGUUUGCAAUCUGAAUUCAUCUAAAAUAAAUGUAAUCUUUUCUAUUCUGAA